Molecule: ribosomal RNA, 895 nt
Filed under: Fusarium pseudograminearum
Lineage: Eukaryota; Fungi; Ascomycota; Sordariomycetes; Hypocreales; Nectriaceae
Description: LSU rRNA
Rfam family: Eukaryotic large subunit ribosomal RNA
Source: RNAcentral
GCAUAUCAAUAAGCGGAGGAAAAGAAACCAACAGGGAUUGCCCUAGUAACGGCGAGUGAAGCGGCAACAGCUCAAAUUUGAAAUCUGGCUUUCGGGCCCGAGUUGUAAUUUGUAGAGGAUGAUUUUGAUGCGGUGCCUUCCGAGUUCCCUGGAACGGGACGCCAUAGAGGGUGAGAGCCCCGUCUGGUUGGAUGCCAAAUCUCUGUAAAUCUCCUUCGACGAGUCGAGUAGUUUGGGAAUGCUGCUCUAAAUGGGAGGUAUAUGUCUUCUAAAGCUAAAUACCGGCCAGAGACCGAUAGCGCACAAGUAGAGUGAUCGAAAGAUGAAAAGCACUUUGAAAAGAGAGUUAAAAAGUACGUGAAAUUGUUGAAAGGGAAGCGUUUAUGACCAGACUUGGGCUUGGUUAAUCAUCUGGGGUUCUCUCCAGUGCACUUUUCCAGCCCAGGCCAGCAUCAGUUUUCGCCGGGGGAUAAAGACUUCGGGAAUGUGGCUCCCCUCGGGGAGUGUUAUAGCCCGUUGUGUAAUACCCUGGCGGGGACUGAGGUUCGCGCUUCUGCAAGGAUGCUGGCGUAAUGGUCAUCAACGACCCGUCUUGAAACACGGACCAAGGAGUCGUCUUCGUAUGCGAGUGUUCGGGUGUCAAACCCCUACGCGUAAUGAAAGUGAACGCAGGUGAGAGCUUCGGCGCAUCAUCGACCGAUCCUGAUGUUCUCGGAUGGAUUUGAGUAAGAGCAUACGGGGCCGGACCCGAAAGAAGGUGAACUAUGCCUGUGUAGGGUGAAGCCAGAGGAAACUCUGGUGGAGGCUCGCAGCGGUUCUGACGUGCAAAUCGAUCGUCAAACCAUGGGCAUGGGGGCGAAAGACUAAUCGAACCUUCUAGUAGCUGGUUUCCGCG